GGGGAGCGAACGGGAUGAGGGGUGCUGAAGGGACCAGGCGGGAGCCCAGCACCAGGGCGGGGGUGCGGGACAAGAGAGGCAUGCACAUGAUUUUAAGAAAUUCAAAUCUAAAGGCAUCAAAAGAAAAGAAUUCCCUGGCCCAACUCAGCCCCCUCAGACUAGGUCUGCAGCUGACCAACUGCAGGGGUGACCUGGGGUCUGGAGGAGCACGGGGCCGGUGAGACCCUGAUUAGGCUCCACAGCUCCCCAUCCCUGCCACCCCCUCCUGCCCUCUGCUGUCCCCUGGCCUAGGGCCACUCUGGCUUCACAACCUCGCACAAGCCAAGUGCACUCCUGUCUGCCCUUGCGACCCCCAGGCCACCCUCCUCACCUCAUUUUCUGUGUCUCCUGACUUCCUGUCCACUUCCCUCUCCUCUGUCUUCACAGCGCACGACACCACACCUUCAUAGACCAGAACACACGCUUCUUAAACAGCGAGGCCUUUUUUGGUCCCUGCUUUCCCUCACUUCCUAAAAGAGUGCUUAAGUGCACGCUGAAAAAACUGGAUGACCAUUCUUUACCCUGACUGCUUGAGCCUCCUUUCAGAUCCACAAUCACCUGCUUGAGUUUCUCUUUUCAAGAUCUUCAUACUAGGUGUUUGCCAGUGGUCCAACACGGAGGUUAGGAAAGCAGUUUCCCCAUGGCCCACCCCCAGUGUGGCUGUCUCUGACUGCCAACCUUAGAGACUUCUGAAGGGAGUGCCAAUUGUGUCCUCCAGAGCCAACCCUCCUUACAAGGAGCCCAAGGCUGUGCCUGCAUCAGGAUAACUGAACAGCAGCCCCAGCUCCUGAGCUUGGAGCACUGGCUGGAGCCCCAGUAGCAGCUGCACUGCUGUCAGGCUGCUUCUCUGCCCAACCCAUCCCCUCACCUGUGCACUGAUUUUCCUUCUGAGAAUACAUGCAAUAAACUCCCACACACAGAUUGCAGCUCCAGAAGCUGUUUCCAGAGGGACCCAGCAUAAGACAGGAGGGGCCAGGUGAUCGGGGAGCUGCCUCUGGGGUGGGGUUUGAGAGCUGGCUGCCAAAUGGUGGCGCAGCAGCCCCUCCCGGCUGAGCAGUGCUGAGCUGGAGCAGAACUGGUAGGUAGGGGGCAGGAAACAGAGUGGGUGGCCGUGUGUCAGACACCGGAGCAGUUGGGAAAAGCACGAAUUACCUGGACUAUGGAAUCAGGUGGCUUUUGCUGAGGGCAAGGCAAAGAAAAGAUCACCAUUUAAAGCAAAGUGUGACAAUAAGGAGGGCUCCUUGGUACCUGCAGCUAGAGAGCCAACAACAUCUACAGGUCAGAGUGAGACCUAAUCCUGAGACAGCACUGCGCCAGAGCGGCUGGACGCUCAGGUAAAUCAGUGACCCUGUAGGAGCCAGGUGACAUAGCUCUCGUGACCUGAUAGGAGAAUCCAGAGAAAGGAGUAGUGACACCCUUGAAUAGUCUCUCUCCAGUGUUCAUUGUUUGGGUCACAUCGAGGAGAAAAGCGGAAGAGAGAGGCAUCUGCGCUGAGGUUUGCUGGACGCUCGAAGCCCGGCGGUUCUGUGCUGCUGUGGAAAGGGGGUCCCAGCUCAACCCAGUGGGGUCGGUGCCCCAGCCCAAGCCUGGCCUCUGCUCGCUGGUAGAAACCCUCAACGGUUUGUCUGCUGUUCGUUGAUAUCAAUACAUCUGUCAGUUUGAGUUAAUAGUUGAAUAUAACCUCAGACAUAUGGUGAAUGUACCGUUAGGUAGAUUUGUGACGCCUCGAUUGCUUAUUGUGAAGCAUGUUCACCCAAAAUGUCUAUGUUUUUAUCAUGAUAAAGUUUAACUUGUUGUUUUUGACCAGGAUUAGCCAAAUAUCAAGGAGCUUUUUGAAGACACUUCUGAAACAGCAAUUAACUGGGCUCCAUAUCCAGUCUUCUUAGCCGCGGCCAGAUGACAUGUGCUUUUCUUCUAAGAUCUCCAUCAAAGCAUCCCAGAGGAGUCAACAGGAGGGGCACCUGAUUCAUCAUUUGGGAUGGGGAUUUGCUGUCAGCGCACCCUCACAGCAGAACCACAACACAGGCUCCAGAGGAGAAAACCCAGGACUCAGGAAACUUGGCCUUUGACCACAGAUGCUUCCUGUGCAGGGAGCUGGGCUCUGGAGACCCAGUGAUGAAUGCAGUGACCGUCCCAAACUGCUCUUCAAAUCGUUCAAACCAAGCCAAACAGAUUUUAUCAAGGGCCAGUGGAGCUGCUGCUUUUGUGAAACAGUAGUUCUAGAGAAGCAACAUAAUAGUGAAGAAACUUGAAAGGGGCAAAAAUGAUACCAGACUGCCCACCACUAUAUUGUAUUUCCUUCAAGGUUUCCUUAGUGUUUACAGAUGGUCUUACACAGGGGCCCUAGGGUUUGUUUGAGUAUUUACCCUGUUUGGGAAUUCACUUUCUUAGCACGACCUUUACUGAGCACCUGGCCUGCAUCCACCGUGGGAAGAUGGGACUCUUGGGGCUGGUGCACCUCCGAAGAUGCCACGCUGAGGACCUCUGCGGCUCCCCCACCCGCAGUUCACCUUGGAAUGGACGAGGAGAAAGCCCUGGGAGUGGACUCGGUCUCGAAGGUCUAGACACAGUGGCAGCAUUUCUGAGGUGGUGCUGGGCCUGGGAGUCGAGGAGCCGCCUCGGGACACCCGGCCAGGCCAGCACCACCUCGCCCCUUCACGACGACUGCGUGGCUCUGACUCCUAGCAGCCCCAGGUGGCCCACAUCCUCUCCUGUGGAGAACCUGAGAUGCCCCAGGAAGGGCGUCGCCCCACCUCAUCCUGCGAGGACUGUCCUUGCUGUCAUGAGCGUGUCUCCCCCGCCGCCUUGCACACCUGAAGGCAGACCGGCCCGGGCGCUCGGAGCCCGGGAAAGGCCAGCCCUGCCGCCCCUCUCUUCCCGGGGGCCCCCUUUUCAGAAGCUUUCUGCCUCUCAAGCCCCCUUCCUCUGCACUUCCCUCAGGAAGCAGGAAACUGAGCGCUGUCUCCCCUUGGAGCGUUUGGCUGUGUCAACGGCCGUGCGGCCCCUGACGGCCAUUCGCAGACCGUCAUCACCCAGAAAGGGGUCCCAGAGGGGUUCAAACUUCUUGUUGAAGGACCCACAAAAUAACUGCACUUCAGGUCAUGACCCAAGUCCCUUACACAAACACCAGCCCUGGCUAGACCCAGCGUGUUCUAAAACGGCGCUGGCUGUUCUAGCUUCAUUUGCAAUUUUGAGACUGAUUUCAGGACCCUCAGCAGCGACCGACCGGGCCCCGGGGGUCCAGGAGGCACCGGCUCGUGGGAUCACACUGUGCUUUCAGGAGUUUUGCCCACUGGUAGUUAAACAGAAGCUUUAUUAAAAAUUUAAUGGCGUAAGCUUACAAAAUGUGUGAGACUGUGCAAACCCUGCUCUUGGAGCUAGCACUGCCUCCCGCGGUGGAGACGCUGGAUUUGAGGGGCCCCUUUCACUGUGCAUCUUGGACGUGCUGUUCCUCGCAUGCAGGGUGACGGUUUUGUUCCAGGAGGUGAGUCUGCUCAGUUUUCACUUCCUUCGUGGCUCUGUCUUCUGCUCCUUCUGCUGUGUUUUCCUUGCUCCUGUCCCUUCAUUUUAUGUUUCAUUCUCGCUCUGUCUUUGUUGAGACUCGGCUCUGGUUGCCUUCUGUUCGUACCUCACCUCCAGCGUGGCGAGUCCUCCCGGGACCAGCUGUUUACGGGAGGCUCCGUCAGGGGCCAGGGUCUGCCUCGGGGAGGGGGUUCUGUCGGGGCCAGGGUCUGCCAGGCAUAGCUCCGGAGGCAGGGCUGCACGUGGGAGACCACCUCGGCCCCAGGCGGCAUGAGGACCUGCACAGUGCGAGGUCCUGUUUGGUGGCUCCAUCCAUUCUUUUCCAUGCCAGCUGAGGCCGGGACCCACACUCUGCUCUCCCCCUGGGUGUGACACAGUCUGAAGCUUUGUGACCUGCAGCCUCUCAGGGUGUCCCCCCCCAGCUCUCCUGUCCACGUGGUCUCCUAGCUUUGCUGGGGGUGGAGUGUGUUUCUACUCCUUUUCUUUGUUGGUCUUGGUUCCCAGGAGAGGAGCGAGUAUGGUCUCCACUCUGCGUUUCACCCCUGAAGACUCGACUGCCCCAGUGUCCUCUGAACCCUUGCUGACGGGUCUGAGGCCGGCCUGGUUCCUCAUCUGAUGUCCUGAAGUUCCCUCUGGCCUCGUCCGGACUUCCUUAGCCCUCAGAGGAUCCUAGUGGUGAGACGUCUUACUCCUGAGCUGGUGACCUCUCCUCAGGUCCAGCUCAUCUCUGUCCGAAUGCUCUGUGGUCUGAGUAAAAGUCUCACAGCUUCGUCAACAUGCCAGGUCCUAACACUCACAUACAAAGAAGGAAAAGCAGCACCCUACGGACCAUGCACUCUACUCACCUGCAUGUUUCACCCCAGAGGCUGCGCUGACUUGGGAAGAGUUGUGCUGACUCACUGUCCAAGUCACUGGUAUCUUUUCAAAUUAGCGCCACAGCAAACUGUUACCCCAUGCUCACGGCCAAAAUAUCACGUCACAUGUAUUAGCUUUUGACCUUAACGUUCAAGCUACCAGCCAUGGCCUACCAGGGUUUUCAGUUUCUUCAAGUUCCAGGACACUUCUUCAAGCGAGAGCACAACAUAUUAAACACGCCCAGGAGGAGUUGCCCUGGUUGAACACAGGAGGCGCUGGGGUUCCGCCUUUGGCGUCCCCCACUCUGGUGGCUCAACGACCACCCUCAGGAGACAUCCGGCAGAGAGAACAUGUGAACAGGAAGCAUUGUGCAGAGAAGAAAAAGAUACAGACAGAGGCAGACGCUGAAACUGACAUGAUUUGGCAUGGGGGGUGGUGGUGGGGGUCAUUGAUCAGAAAGAAAAGAGGGUAAAAUUUCAAAGAGAAAUGACUAGUGUCUUCCCAGGGCCUUGGGCUGGGUCCUGCGGGUGCAGGUGGGGCCUCUGGACCUCAGCCCUUUAGCUUCAGGGGAAAUCUGCGUUUUCCCUGCAGAGGGGCCAGUGGUCCAGGAACAGGUCGGGAAGAAGGAAGGCACGGCCAGGGCUGGGAGGGGUGUGGUGGUGAGCAUGUAGGAUUUGGGAAGUCCUCAGGAACUGGAUUGAAAGGGUCCUGGGAGCUCAUGGAGCAGGACAAACAGCUCGUAGCAGCUGGUGGACCAGGGCAGGAGGGCAGGACACCACAGCCCCAGCGGCAGGUCUCUCCCCACCUCCCCAGACCACUGUUAGCCCUGCUAAGGAGCAGAACCUUCGCUGACCUCAUCACCCCAAGGAAAGCAGCAGCUGGUCUCCAACUGAAGACCUUCAGACCUUCUGUCACGCCCUUGGCACCGAGACAUCUGCUGUGAUGUCUGUGGAAGAAGGCGAAUCGUUGCCGUGAGACACCUCGGGUGCUUCACCCAGGCACGACAGACACUGAGGUGCCGGCAGAGGGAAACGUUCCCGGACCAAGAGUCAGACCCUGGGCCCAGCUCUGUCCCCUCCCCAGCCUGGCCACCGUGAAGGCUGAACCAGCUGUUGUCACUGCUUCCUGCCUCAGUGCCAUUUGACAGCAAGCACUUCCGGUUUCAGAAACUAAGCGGCUCAGGUGCCUCUGGCCCGAGGAUAAGAGACUACUUUCUGACAUUUAAACUCAGCUUUGUCCUGGAAAGAACAAGCUUUAGGAACACAUGGACUAAAGGGGGAGGCGCAGCUCCGUGGCGGAGCGUGUGGCUGGCGUGCACGAGGUCCUGGGUUCAGCCCCAGCACCUCCAGUAAAAUAGACAAAUGAAUGAACCUUAUUACUCCCCUCUCCGAGUAAAUUUUAAAAAUACAUUAAAUAAGCAAAUAAUUUUUUAAAAAGACACAUGGACUAACUAUUGGUGGAAGGAUGAGUAGCAGGGCAGAGUGUAAAAGGGGGGAGA
Molecule: non-coding RNA, 5914 nt
Organism: Vicugna pacos (alpaca)
Lineage: Eukaryota; Metazoa; Chordata; Mammalia; Artiodactyla; Camelidae
Source: RefSeq, a predicted model, not a curated record